UCGGUGGAAUAUCUGCCAUAAAGUACAUUGUCUAGUACAGGUUUGCCAUGGAGGAAGGUUAGGUAUUUUUUUUUCUUGUGUUUAUAGGUAUCCAGGUCAUUAGAGUAGCUAACUUUAGGUAUGACAGUUAAACUAAAAUUAUACUAAUCAGCGAAAGUCUUAGAGAUAUAAAUUUGAGUGGGGUGGAUGUUUUGUUGGCAUGGAGAACUGCGUUGGUGAAUGCCAUAGAGCAACACCACUGUGUAACAAGCGAAAGAGUAUGGGUGCCGUGUUGUUUGCUAGUCGCAGCUGGGACCGUAACAACUCAAACGCAAGUGACAUUUGAACUUGAUCUGUCGACGUUCCAUUGGAGAUGGAACAUUCCCUCUGAUAGAUCUUACGAUCCACGCUGUGCUUGUAACUUGCUUGAUGCGUACGUACUUUUGGACUCUGGGCGUAUUAUAGAAGCACGGGUGAGAAUGUAAAAUUUUUUUGUACCUACAAUCGGCUAAAUAUGUCCGUUGCAGCCUAGACACGUCAGUUCAACAGAACUCUCCUACGAUGGCAAGAAUAAAAGGGGGUCCUCAUUGACUCGAAGGGUGUGCGCGGUAUGAAAAAUUUCCGGAUAUCCCAUUUAAGGCAGCAGAGGAUCAAUUCGGCAUUCACCGGUCGUUAUUUGCUAUAUUCUAUACACGCGACCAGUGGCAAGUCAAGCGAUUGGCUGGAGCCGAAGCGCGGUCAUUGUAACUGAAAUCGAUAGAAUAGGCCGCUGGCUUGCGUAUUUUUUCGGUAAAUGGCUGGGCCGGCGCGCUUGCCUGCGAUAGAAAAGGUCGUCUGAUAAAAGUAGUCCCGGUCAAGCAUUAAAAUACCGGAGGCAAUAUUUCCAGAUCAGGCAAUGUUAUUUAGACAGCAAUAGUUAUGAUAGCGGUUGUAAAGCGAAUAUCUACGUACGUACAUAGAUAUGUCAGCGCGACGCUGAUUUUGGUGGCUUGAACGUCGACUCGGCGCCAAUCAUUCAACCGCGUCAACAUCUAGUCACCGCCAGCAGAAAGAAGUUAAGGCAGGAUCAGCUGCAGCCGUUGUCGCGCCUACUCUUGUGGCCAUGGCAGAAGACGCAGUUCUCAGGACGCGCGACUCCCUUCUACUCGGUGUCAACGGCCUUUAACUAUCGACGUGCAAAAUCUUCAAGAGUGAGAGCGAUGCCUGGAUAGCUAGACCACAACUAUCUAGUCAACCACGUAAGCGACUAAACAGGCGGUAGUGUCAUCAACAGCCGCGCGAGGACCGCGGCGAUACCCGGCCACCAUCAGUUGCAGCCAUUUGUUACAGGGCGUCGUAUUCUACAAUGAUGACGAUCGUAACGGCGAUGGCCGUUAUCUGAGCGAAUAUCCCAAAGGCUGCCUCGAGAACGCAGUGGUUCUGGCGCUACGGUUUAAUACGCGUUACACUGCUAAGCUGUUGGUGUUUACUACGGUAUUGCCUCGACAGUAAGGCAAGGGGCUUAUUCGAGGGCAGUCCACUGCGGACGGUGGGUGACAGGCCGUAGAAAUGGUGGUGGAUUGCUUUGAGAUGGAAUCAUGUCAAAAAAGAAAAAAAGCAAGAACAACGUCAAGCAGUAACGAAUGUCGGCUGUGUCGACAACACAGCAUACUGAUGUCUGCGCGUCCGAUAUGCUACGAUGGGGUCGGUGCAUCAAAUCAUACGUGUUUGGAGUAAUCGAAUAGAGUGCAUUUACUAUGGAAUACAUAUAGAUAUGGUUAUAUAAUGUUUCUAUAGCCCAGAUGACUCGAUACCAAAGCUGGCAUCGAACACUUAGCGCAAAAGAGGCGAUUUUCCGCUUUCGACAAUUGCAUCGAAAUGAAUACAUCACGUAUGAGUGCUUCAGGAUUCUGCGCGAGUUAUUUCUAGCCAGACCAAGACUGAAUAUAUCGGAUGGGCGAAAUAUGGACGCGCACAGAAGAGACGAAAAGCCGCUAAACGUUGCUAACAUCCACAAGCAGUGCUAUCAAUAUGGUAAUAUAGAUAAAGAAAUAGUAAUCAUCAGAACUUAGUAAAGUGAAGUUGAUUUUCAAAGCGCUUGACCAUCAGUACCGGCUUCUAUACCUGAAAUUUCAUGUAGUACUUCGAAAAUAAAAUGCUACACCUUCUCCGAUAGACGCGUUCUAGCCGCUAGAGAUGAUAGUUGGACCUGGAAAUGGCACACGCUGCUAGAUAUAUUAGAUCAUACGUGGUUCUCUAUACUAGUAGAUUUUCAUAAUCUUAAGACUACCAUUGCCUUUGAGAUAUCGACACGGUUUAGUGGUUUCCACUUAACCCAACUUAUUAAUGCGAGCAAUUAAUUUUCACAAGUUGUUUUGUUUCACUUUUUCAAGUUUUUUUUUAGUGAACGACCUCUAUGAGAUUGAACUUCUUUUCAUAUGUCACAUAACCUGGCUACGCCAAUAGUAGUAAUAAAAAUGUCUAUGACAUUAAAAACAUUUGUUUGACGUUUAUAUAACUAAAGUUACUGCAAAUAAGUGAAUAAUAAUCAAAAAAGAAUAGCUGAAAUAGAAAUUUUCUAACUUUCGACCAAAUAUAACAGGUAAGUAUUCCACCUGGUCUUUAUGUGAGCUUGCAAAGCUGUUGGCUGCAACUUCACUAAAAAAAAUUAUUAAAAGAUACUUAUGAGCAAUUAUUAGUUAGAAAUAUAAAACACUACGUUCAGAUAGUGCAGUACGAAAGCAAAGGUAUCGGAGACGGAAUGGGCUUUAGCGCCUCCUGUUGGAACUAAGCAUAUAUAGGCAGUAGAAGGAAAAUCAUUCGUGAACUUGAGCCUAUGCGGAAACAAACGUCACUCUCAAAUUGAUAUUACACUGAACUAUGUCAGGCCAUACAUAAGGUAAAUGUUGGUGGAUGGCAAAGAUAUUUCCGUGGCCUACGUCUGGUAUACGACAAAGGUGCAGUGCAAUUUUAAUAUAGUAUCUUAAUAAGUGCAGCAUAAUACUGCGGUCAUUUAGAGAGCCAAAAAUCGAUAGUUUGGCCCUUAUCGACACAUUUCGAAAUAUGACGUAAAGGAUAUUCCUGAUAACUAAAUUUGUUCACAAAAAAAAGUUAGACCUUCAUUUAAUGCCUUUAUCCAUUUCAUAAGUUAUACAUCUUACGGCAAGCCACAGUAGCAUUAGAUAACAAUCAUCAUCCUCAGUUAUUCUUACAUCAUUGUCAGUUGUUCGUGUUUUUUUCGUCUCGAGUUUUAACCUUAUAGGCUUGAUAUUAAUAUACAAAAUAGUAAAUGUUAAAUAUCAUCACUAUCACAUAAUAGUAACAAUUCAAACGUUUCAAUCUUUUAUCCCGAAUCGCUGUUACAAUCUUCAUCAACAACGAUAACAAGAGGUACAUAUGAAGUUCACAGCCCUAAUACUUCAACUGCAAGUGCGACGGCAACUGUUUCUUUUCCAACUAUUUACUUGCCUGCGUAUCAUUCAUUGGCAAGUAUCAAACUGUUUCCGACUCUCGUGCGGCGUAUGAAAUAUUUGCGUAUCUUAUAGGUACAAACAGAGCGAGCGAGCUCGGUUGUUAUGGCGAUGUUGGCAAAUCACCAGAAUGCGCGUUGUCUCGCCUCGCUGCGCCAUUCUUAAUGUUGAGAAUAUGUAUUUGUAAAUGUGUGUGAGUGUGAGAUCCAAGCUGAUGCAAGAAUCCCUAGCUAGUUGGAAGAAAAAUCCCUAGACAACUUAGUAGCUGUGAAAAAGCACAUUAAUAAUAAACUUUCUGUCCAAUUGUCAGGAGUCUUUUUCAGAGACUGAGUACCCUGUGUAUUCCAGUUGUCAACAGUAACGGCAGGGGCGCUCCUAUUGUUCAAAGGGUUUUCUUUGUUAUUAGCUCUAUAAAUGCGUCUGUUUGGAUAUUACAUGUGAUGAACGUGAUGGCAGCCAGCUAAGUGAUCCGGUAACACGGUCCCCAAUGACUUUUCCUACGUUUCCCUUUUUCUCUGCGUCGGUCUUUUACGUUUUCGCCCUUCUGGGACAAUGACGUUGAGUCAUCGUACGCGCUUCCUUAACACUUCCCUUUAAAGUAGACUAAUGGGCUUUAACAGAACUGGCUACAAGCUAUUGGUACUGACCCUAUAUCCCAAGCAACAAAUCAUUCUUCAUGUCACUAGGUCGCAACAAAAUGAGAAAGGCACCUGGUUGACAAUUGCCGGUAAACAAACUGCGUUGCCAAGUAACCUGUACGUUUCUUUAAAGGAUUGUUGGCGCAACGAGGCCAAAAACAGACACUAUUUGCUAAGAGUAUUCGAACUAACUAUCGUUUCACAAGUUGAAAAGAAUUAAGCUAAGUCACAUUAUUUUCUUGUUGUUGUCAAACAAAGUUGUCAUUCUCACCGGUAACUGUGACACAACGGAACAAAAAACUACACACUCACGGAGGUCUCGCUGUAAUCAGCAAGUCAACAACCUCAACGACAAUAAACACCGAAGCGGAAUCUAUUGGAAGAGGAGAGUUCCGUGAGGUUAUAAACCUGCUUCGAUUUAGGAGAACCCGUUCGUCGGACACGGAUCCAGACAGAAAUCACUUACAAAUCUUGUAAGAACUCUGAUCAGGACAACUAAAGAAGGCGAAGUCGCUACAAUUUUUAAUGUCCUUCCAGGAAUAAACUAUUACGAUUAAAUAAACAGUUGGUAGGCUGUUAAUAAUUGUCGGUCGAUUUAAUAAAGAGGCCGCGAAUUCAGCGCUCGCAAAAGGCAAAAUAUUCAUUGGCUAAAUACCUCAGCUAGACGGAGACUGGGUGCCGAUCCUUUUUGCAGCUUAAGAUGAGUUUUCACACUGAAACGACGUAUCAUAAAAGGUAAGCCGUAUGACUCUGUUUCACUUUAAGAAGCUCGCUCAUAGAGCUUCUUUUGCCAUGCGGAUCUGAGUAACCAGCUUACAGUCAAAUUAAAAGCCCUGUUUAGUAUUGGUGGGAAAUUUUGUUGGGACAUUUAACUGAAGCUCCAGUGACUGGAUAUAAAACAAAAGAAAACAGCCAAGAUAUCCUCAAAAAUGAGAGCGAAGGGAAGCUUUGACGUCAAUGGCGAAGUACUCUUCGGAGCUUUUAUAUGAGAGACAUCCAUGAGUACCUAGCAGAACAAUAGGAACGAUAUACCCAGGAGCUCCACUGCAGCCACCGUGCUAGAUAAAUACCGCACAAUUCGGAGGCUACAGGGAGACAAAAAAAACAAGUUUCGUGCUUCCUGACGCAGUUAAUGGUGGGAAUUUUGAACUUUCAAAGUUUUAUUCUCUGCGUAGGAAAAACCUUGUCUAAUCUACGCGUGAAUAUAAUUACCAAUAUGGUUUAGGGGAUCAACCUCUUGUACACAGGAAGAAUGCCAAGCCUGUCAAAAAUAGACUGACUAACCUAAACCUUAAAAGGAGUUGCGAAAGCGGACAUUUGUACCCUACACUUGCGAAAAUAAAGAGAAACGUUAACUGGAGGAGACCCAAGCAAGAAAAACGCGUUGAAAACAGAGUUAUUAGGACAAAAGCGCAUUGAAAACUCCUUGAAAUUGACCGGAGGACGCAGAAAUGCCGACGUUUUAAAGAGUUCGUUGUUACAGGAUACUUCGGCGAUUUUCCUCUGCACGAGUCAGGGCGCAUUCUAUGCGUUAACAACCCCGGUUAACCACACACAUUCGAUACGGAGGCGCUCAUUGUGUCUCCUGGGAGUUCUAGGAUUAGUUUACAAUGCAAAGUUGGGAUGUUAGAGGGUGAAGUAUGCAAGAAAUGAAUUAUAGGUCUAGUAAGCAUGACCUCGGCAACCCAAGACGUCCUCAGAAACGCCGCACGCUGCUCCGAAACCGGAUGCAUUGUCACGCCAGCGUGGUAGUUUGCAGUAAUGCAUUCGCAGUUCUCCUUUGCAGGAGAAGGCAUGGAGGCAGUCGAACAAACAACGUUGGAGUAAACUACAAUGUCAAAAAUUUAUCAAAUCAAGUGCAUAUGUUCCAGUCAAUUGUGCUCAGUGAUUUUUUUUUCAAAAAUUAGUGGUCUAUCUUUAUAAUUAUUUUUAAAAAAGUUUCAACCGUACAAGGUCGACCUUAUGCAAAUGCUUAAUUUUACAAACUGUAAUCCCAUCCAGCUGAAAUAAUUUUUCAAAUAUUGUAGUUUCGAUCUUUAUGAUUCAUUGGGAAAAUGUUUGCUUGACUGUGUUUACGGAGCAAGAGAACUUCCUUCGCUGAGUCACUACAGCUAUAACAUAAGUCCGUUGUGAUAAACUGCAUCAGCAGUUAUUUCCUGGUACUACUUCUACCACUAAGUUGAGUUUAUAUCAUCUUAAUUAUGAUGAAAAACAAAUAUUGUGUGCCGUGAUGUUUAUCAAAACAAAUAACAAAUGUAAAAUGGAUGCAAGUAUCACGUUAAUAUUUUAUGUUUAGUAGCGUGUUGGCACUCGUUCUGUAACUAUAAUAGAUGAUAUCUCCAACGAUUUCAG
Long non-coding RNA from Varroa destructor (honeybee mite), 6418 nucleotides. The record is from RefSeq and is a predicted model, not a curated record. Lineage: Eukaryota; Metazoa; Arthropoda; Arachnida; Mesostigmata; Varroidae.